This 483-nucleotide ribosomal RNA is filed under the name uncultured bacterium. RNAcentral describes it as "partial 16S ribosomal RNA". It matches the Rfam family "Bacterial small subunit ribosomal RNA", at positions 28 to 507 of the family's 1533-position model. The record is from RNAcentral.
GACGAACGCUGGCGGCGUGCUUAACACAUGCAAGUCGAACGAUGAAGCGGGUGCUUGCACUCGUGGAUUAGUGGCGAACGGGCGAGUAACACGUGAGUAACCUGUCCUUUUCUUUGGGAUAACGGCUGGAAACGGCUGCUAAUACUGGAUAUUCAGGCUGCAUCGCAUGGUGUGGUUUGGAAAGGUUUUUUCUGGGAUUGGUUGGGCUCGCGGCCUAUCAGCUUGUUGGUGGGGUGAUGGCUUACCAAGGCUUUGACGGGUAGCCGGCAUGAGAGGGUGGUCGGGCGCACUGGGACGGAGAUGCGGCCCAGACUCCGACGGGGGGCAGCAGUGGGGAAUAUUGCACAAUGGAGGAAAGUGUGAUGCAGCGACGCCGAGUGGAGGGUGGAGGCCGUCGGGUUGUGAACUCCUUUUUCAAGCGAAAAAGGCACAGUUUUGGCUGUGUUGAUGGUAGUGGGGGAAGAAGCGCCGGCUAACUACGUG